Molecule: long non-coding RNA, 572 nt
Organism: Oryza brachyantha (malo sina)
Lineage: Eukaryota; Viridiplantae; Streptophyta; Magnoliopsida; Poales; Poaceae
Exons: 3
Source: RefSeq, a predicted model, not a curated record
GCGGCAGCCAUUGCUCCUCACCACAUCGAGCUACACACAAGCAGCAGCAGCAGCACAGGGAGGAGUUUCUUGGAGACUUGGGGCGCCAUGUCGGACAAGUGCGGCAACUGCGACUGCGCUGACAAGUCCCAGUGCGUGAAGAAGGGAAACAGCUAUGGUGUCGUCCUAGUCGACACCCAGGAGAGCCGCUUGGAGGAGAUCGCCGGCGCCGGAGCUGAGAACGGCGGGUGCAACUGCGGCUCCAACUGCACCUGCACCGACUGCAAGUGCGGCAAGUGAUCAAGCCGUCGUCAUGCACUGAUCCGAUCCAUGCACUACCUCAAUUAAUUAAUUAACUAGUCUAUAUACACAAUAAAAUUCGCCCAAUUAUACGUGUAUGUGGUUUUUGUGUGUUCAUUGCUCAUCAACUAGUUAAUUAAACCCCUGGAUCUAUAUAUCGAUCAAGGUAUAUAUGCCUAUCUGUGUGAUGUGUGUACGGGUACCAGUGUGCCAUACGCCGUGAAGACGUGAAGUUAAUGCAUAUCGUGUAUUCGUGUGGUUUGUCUCUAGUAAAACUAAUUUUCUAUUUGUCA